UGGGGAAUUUUGGACAAUGGGCGAAAGCCUGAUCCAGCAAUGCCGCGUGUGUGAAGAAGGCCUUCGGGUUGUAAAGCACUUUUGUCCGGAAAGAAAUCCUUGGCUCUAAUACAGUCGGGGGAUGACGGUACCGGAAGAAUAAGCACCGGCUAACUACGUGCCAGCAGCCGCGGUAAUACGUAGGGUGCAAGCGUUAAUCGGAAUUACUGGGCGUAAAGCGUGCGCAGGCGGUUUGCUAAGACCGAUGUGAAAUCCCCGGGCUCAACCUGGGAACUGCAUUGGUGACUGGCAGGCUAGAGUAUGGCAGAGGGGGGUAGAAUUCCACGUGUAGCAGUGAAAUGCGUAGAGAUGUGGAGGAAUACCGAUGGCGAAGGCAGCCCCCUGGGCCAAUACUGACGCUCAUGCACGAAAGCGUGGGGAGCAAACAGAAUUAGAUACCCUGGUAGUCCACGCCCUAAACGAUGUCACUAGUUGUGGGGAUUCAUUUCCUUAGUAACGUAGCUAACGCGUGAAGUUGACCGCCUGGGGAGUACGGUCGCAAGAUUAAAACUCAAAUGAAUUGACGGGGU
Molecule: ribosomal RNA, 569 nt
Filed under: uncultured bacterium
Lineage: Bacteria
Description: partial 16S ribosomal RNA
Rfam family: Bacterial small subunit ribosomal RNA
Source: RNAcentral